This 583-nucleotide long non-coding RNA is filed under the name Dromaius novaehollandiae (emu). RNAcentral's name for it is "lncRNA (ENSDNVG00000012243.1)". Lineage: Eukaryota; Metazoa; Chordata; Aves; Casuariiformes; Dromaiidae. The record is from RNAcentral.
ACACGAUGGAUGUCGAUUUUUGWCACCGGCCAGGUUGAGACCCUGCUUCGACGGGGUCUCCGUUUCCAGCUGCUGAUUCCUCCGCCCRGCCGCGUGCUCCUCCGCGGGGGGCUUUGCAGAGCCGCGAGCUGAGCCCUCGUCCUUGCAGAGCAGGAGCUGAGCAGGCAGAAACAGAGGAUUUACAAAUCUUUUUUYUGUCCUUCCUCUGCUAUCUAAACUGAAACGCAGCACUUCAUCAGCGUAUAACCCGGGCGCUGCGAGAUCCAAGAGGCAGUGAGGCAACGAGCAUCGCCGCACACAGCAUCUCCUGCGCAAUAUUUGCCAAGGGCUUGGGAGCGUUAACGAGGGAGSGGAGGGCUUUCGAAGGGCCGUCGUGCUGGAGAUCUCAGCAUCUCCGUCAGCAUCACAGCCCGUGYUUCACAGGCCAAGGAGAAGAUGAGGGAGAUGAAAUGACCGGAGCAAGGUUGCAUGGUGCCUGCUWUUCUUUGCAGGAAAGGCAGCACAGAGCAUCCACCGGGAAGGAACCCACGGGGCCUGCAGGGUUGCCCAGAUAUCCCAACUAUGUUAACUCUAAGCGGGUAAG